UACAGAGGGUGCAAGCGUUAAUCGGAAUUACUGGGCGUAAAGCGUGUGUAGGUGGUUAGAUAAGUUAGAUGUGAAAUCCCCGGGCUUAACCUGGGCACUGCGUUUAAGACUGUUUAACUAGAGUGCUGUAGAGGGUAGUGGAAUUUCCAGUGUAGCGGUGAAAUGCGUAGAUAUUGGAAGGAACACCAGUGGCGAAGGCGACUACCUGGACAGACACUGACACUGAGACACGAAAGCGUGGGGAGCAAACAGGAUUAGAUACCCUGGUAGUCCAUGCUGUAAACUAUGAGAACUUGCUGUUGGGUGCAUAAAGGCAUUUAGUAGCGAAGCUAACGCGUUAAGUUCUCCGCCUGGGGAGUACGGCCGCAAGGCUAAAACUCAAAG
This 384-nucleotide ribosomal RNA is filed under the name uncultured bacterium. Its description in RNAcentral is "bacterial SSU rRNA". It matches the Rfam family "Bacterial small subunit ribosomal RNA", at positions 524 to 906 of the family's 1533-position model. The record is from RNAcentral.